This 227-nucleotide ribosomal RNA is filed under the name uncultured eukaryote. RNAcentral's name for it is "partial small subunit ribosomal RNA". It matches the Rfam family "Eukaryotic small subunit ribosomal RNA", at positions 1208 to 1456 of the family's 1831-position model. The record is from RNAcentral.
GGGAACCUCACCAGGCCCGGACACCGGAAGGAUUGACAGAUUGAGAGCUCUUUCUCGAUUCGGUGGGUGGUGGUGCAUGGCCGUUCUUAGUUGGUGGAGUGAUUUGUCUGGUUAAUUCCGAUAACGAACGAGACUCUGUCCUGCUAAAUAGUGUCAGCCUCUCUUCUGGGCUGACAAUUCUUCUUAGAGGGACUGGCGGCUCCUAGCCGCACGAGAUAGAGCAAUAA